CUAUGUUGGGGGCGCGGCGCACAGCUCAAUAACACGUGGCUAACCUGCCCUUGGGAUAGGGACAACCCCGGGAAACUGGGGCUAAUCCCCAAUAGGCGAAGGCUCCUGGAAUGGAUCUUCACCCGAAAGGAAUCUAGAUCAUGCUUCUAGGUGUCGCCCAAGGAUGGGGCCGCGGCCGAUCAGGUUGUUGGUGAGGUAAUGGCCCACCAAGCCUUUUACCGGUGCGGGCCGUGAGAGCGGGAGCCCGGAGAUGGGCACUGAGACAAGGGCCCAGGUCCUACGGGGCGCAGCAGUCGCGAAACCUUUGCAAUACACGCAAGUGUGACAGGGCCAUCCCGAGUGCCGACCGCUGAGGUUGGCUUUUAAUCAGUCUAGAAAGCUGGGAGAAUAAGGAGAGGGCAAGUCUGGUGUCAGCCGCCGCGGUAAUACCAGCUCUCCGAGUGGUGUGGACGUUUAUUGGGCCUAAAGCAUCCGUAGCUGGCUGAACAAGUCCCCUGUUAAACCCAACGAUUUAAUCGUUGGCUUGCGGGGGAAACUGCUCGGCUAGGAGACGGGAGAGGCAGACGGUAUUCUCGGGGUAGGGGUGAAAUCCUAUAAUCCCGAGAAGACCACCAGUGGCGAAGGCUGUCUGCUAGAACGCGCUCGACGGUGAGGGAUGAAAGCUGGGGGAGCGAACCGGAUUAGAUACCCGGGUAGUCCCAGCUGUAAACGAUGCAGGCUAGGUGUUUGGACGGCCACGUGCCGUUCUAGUGCCGCAGGGAAGCUGUUAAGCCUGCCGCCUGGGGAGUACGAUCGCAAGAUUGAAACUCAA
Molecule: ribosomal RNA, 811 nt
Filed under: uncultured crenarchaeote
Lineage: Archaea; Thermoproteati; Thermoproteota
Description: bacterial SSU rRNA
Rfam family: Archaeal small subunit ribosomal RNA
Source: RNAcentral